CCCAAAAUGUGAUACAAGGAGUGAUUCACCUGCCCACUUCCAUGUGAGUUUCCCACCUCAGAUGAACGAAACUGAAAUGGAACCACCUGUUUUGAAA
This 97-nucleotide long non-coding RNA is filed under the name Anas platyrhynchos platyrhynchos (common mallard). RNAcentral describes it as "lncRNA (ENSAPLG00000022498.1)". Lineage: Eukaryota; Metazoa; Chordata; Aves; Anseriformes; Anatidae. The record is from RNAcentral.